Molecule: ribosomal RNA, 458 nt
Filed under: uncultured Acidobacteriota bacterium
Lineage: Bacteria; Pseudomonadati; Acidobacteriota
Description: bacterial SSU rRNA
Rfam family: Bacterial small subunit ribosomal RNA
Source: RNAcentral
GAUGAAGGCCUUCGGGUUGUAAAGCUCUUUCGACCGGGAAGAUAAUGACGGUACCCGUAGAAGAAGCUGCGGCUAACUACGUGCCAGCAGCCGCGGUAAUACGUAGGGGGCAAGCGUUGUUCGGAAUUACUGGGCGUAAAGGGUGCGUAGGCGGUUCUCUAAGUCUGGUGUGAAAUCUCCCGGCUCAACUGGGAGGGUGCGCCGGAAACUGGAGGGCUUGAGUAUGGGAGAGGUGAGUGGAAUUCCUGGUGUAGCGGUGAAAUGCGUAGAUAUCAGGAGGAACACCUGUGGUGAAGGCGGCUUACUGGACCAUUACUGACGCUGAGGCACGAAAGCGUGGGGAGCAAACAGGAUUAGAUACCCUGGUAGUCCACGCCCUAAACGAUGCAUGCUUGGUGUGGGCGGUUCAUUUUCUUCGUGCGGGAACUAACGCGUUAAAUAUGCCCCCUGGGGAGUAC